ACGUAGGGUGCAAGCGUUAAUCGGAAUUACUGGGCGUAAAGCGUGCGCAGGCGGUUGUGUAAGACAGGUGUGAAAUCCCCGGGCUUAACCUGGGAACUGCGCUUGUGACUGCACAGCUAGAGUACGGCAGAGGGGGGUGGAAUUCCACGUGUAGCAGUGAAAUGCGUAGAUAUCGGAAGGAACACCAGUGGCGAAAGCGGCUUCCUGGUCCAGCACCGACGUUCAGGCACGAAAGCGUGGGGAGCAAACAGGA
Molecule: ribosomal RNA, 253 nt
Filed under: uncultured prokaryote
Description: partial 16S ribosomal RNA
Rfam family: Bacterial small subunit ribosomal RNA
Source: RNAcentral